AUGAAAACGCCAGUAAACCAGUUUGUAUCACUGUGGGCCACUUUUGGUGGAGGAACCAAACUGUCAGUUGGAAGUGUGGCUGCGCCCACCCUCACGGUCCUGCCCCCCUCCAGCGUGGAGCUGCAGCAGGGGAAGGCCACACUCGUGUGUUUGGCCAACAAGGGCUUCCCCUCAGACUGGAGGCUGAGCUGGAAGGUGGACGGGAGCAGCUGGAGCUCGGGGGUUAGCCAGAGCCCCGGGCUUCUGCAGAAGGACGACGGCCUCUACAGCUGGAGCAGCACCCUGACCCUCCAGGAGGACCAGUGGCUAAAGAAGACAGUGACCUGUGAGGCCACCAAGGACUCCCAGACUCCUGUCAGCCAAACCCUGAGGAGAGAGCAAUGCACUGGGCAGUGAGCGUCCACGCGUGUGUUGAGCUGCUAGAGCUCCUCUUGAUCUUCAGUGAGCUCAAUCAUGGCUCUGCUUAAUGCUCUGAUCUUCAUCAUCACUUCCUCAUCAUUAUCAUAAGAGCUUUGUUCUAAAUAUCCAGUCUUUUAUUGCUCUCAAAAUAUACAAUUAAUGUCAGAUUGCUACUUUGUUUAUGAAAUCAUAUUGUUUUCUCAUCUUUUAAAGCUUUUGUUUCCUGUUAAAAAUAAAGCAAUUGGAUAAAAUGCA
Molecule: non-coding RNA, 654 nt
Organism: Pygocentrus nattereri (red-bellied piranha)
Lineage: Eukaryota; Metazoa; Chordata; Actinopteri; Characiformes; Serrasalmidae
Source: the annotation of a RefSeq genome assembly